Molecule: transfer RNA, 74 nt
Filed under: Lasius niger
Lineage: Eukaryota; Metazoa; Arthropoda; Insecta; Hymenoptera; Formicidae
Rfam family: tRNA
About the family: Transfer RNA (tRNA) molecules are approximately 80 nucleotides in length. Their secondary structure includes four short double-helical elements and three loops (D, anti-codon, and T loops).
Source: Rfam by way of RNAcentral
GGCCGUGUGGCGUAAUGGCAGCGCAUCUGACUACGAACGUGUACAUCAGGAGGUUGCAGGUUCGACCCCUGUCU